Long non-coding RNA from Phyllostomus discolor (pale spear-nosed bat), 1272 nucleotides. RefSeq lists it as uncharacterized. Lineage: Eukaryota; Metazoa; Chordata; Mammalia; Chiroptera; Phyllostomidae. The transcript has 3 exons. The record is from RefSeq and is a predicted model, not a curated record.
AAUCUGGGUGUGUGCAACAGGGAAUCGAACCUGCAUCCUUCUUGUCUGUGGGACCAAGGGUGACAGAGACCAGGAGGGUAUGAUUUGAAUUUAAGCGAGUUAUACCAGUAAGGUACAUUGAUUUCCCCUUUAGGAAACCUGUGGUUAACCCUUUUUUGGUCAUAGAUUCUUUCAAGAAAUCAAUGGGCCAUUUUCCCAGAAAAAUUAUUGACCAUCUUGCAUUUUAUCAGUGGUUUAUGAACUUCCUAAAGUCACUCAUAUGGACUGCCCAUUCCCCAUGACCAUUGCCUUAAAUCUUCCCAUCCUGGGUCAAGUGCUACAAGAACCUGUUUAAGGACCUGUGAUUUAGGUGAACAUUUUUUUUCCCCCUCGUUUCCUGAUCUGAGUUGAAGCUUGUAAUUAUUAAAGUCUGGUUCAGCAGCAGUGUUCUGUUUAGUGUGAAGAUACUUUUGCUUCCUGACUUGCUGUUGCAAGUGGACUUGAUGAUACAUUGUAUUUAGUUUAGCCGUAUGAAAUUGCUGAUACUGUUUUUGAUCUAUUGAAAUGGCUGUUUCAAUGGUUCUGAUUGCUAAAUUACCUUUCAUGCUGUUCACAGAUUGUGUCAUGUAUGUCACUCUAUACUACCUCUAUCUAGUUAUUAGAGGACAAGAAAGGAUACAGUCCUUACAAAGCAGCCUUAGGACUGGAGAAUGCAGUUGCAGUGCUGUCUGAAAUAGUGAAGGGUUUAUUUCUAAAACCUAGGUUGUCUCUUCAUUCCCAAUCUUGUCAUGUACUGUUAAGAAUUCACUUUUAUCUUUACUGCUCCCUGUUGCUAUAGAAUCUCUAGUUGUUAUAAAAUUGUCACACCCACAGAUUACUUAUUGUAGGUUUUUUAUAAUGAAGUGUGGAGCAAAGCACAGAACUGACAUCUUGUCCCUGAUAAUUCAUGCAUUGGUAAAGAUACAAUGCUUAUGUAAUAUUCCUACUAACAAUGUAUACACAACUCUGGACACAAGAAAAUCACAUGAAUCCAAACAAAGGGCCAUUCUGCAAAACAAAUGGCCUGUACCCUUCAAAAAUCUCAAUGUCAUGAAAGGAAAAAAAGGCAAGGGAACUAUUCUUAGAAAAAAGGAGAUAUAACUAAAUGCCAUGUGUGAUCUUUGAUGUGAGCCUGAUGGAAAACAGAGGAUAUUAUUGAGACAAUUAGGUAACUUAAUAUGGGCUGUGUGUUAGAUAGUAGUAUUAUAUGUUAAAUUUUCUGAUUUUUAUAGUUUUGAGUUAUGAAGCAGGGAG